This 352-nucleotide ribosomal RNA is filed under the name uncultured bacterium. RNAcentral describes it as "bacterial SSU rRNA". It matches the Rfam family "Bacterial small subunit ribosomal RNA", at positions 917 to 1267 of the family's 1533-position model. The record is from RNAcentral.
GGGCCCGCACAAGCGGUGGAGCAUGUGGCUUAAUUCGAGGCAACGCGAAGAACCUUACCUGGUCUUGACAUGCCCGUCAUAGUUUUCCGAAAGGAAUUCGUCAGUUCGGCUGGACGGUGCACAGGUGCUGCAUGGCUGUCGUCAGCUCGUGUCGUGAGAUGUUCGGUUAAGUCCGGCAACGAGCGCAACCCUCGUUCCUAGUUGCCAGCGGGUAAUGCCGGGGACUCUAGGAAGACAAACCUCGUGUAGAGGUGGAAGGUGGGGACGACGUCAAGUCAGUAUGGCCCUUACGACCAGGGCUGCACACGUGCUACAAUGCCCAGCACAAUGGAUGCAACGCCGCGAGGUUGAG